Molecule: ribosomal RNA, 219 nt
Filed under: uncultured bacterium
Lineage: Bacteria
Description: partial 16S ribosomal RNA
Rfam family: Bacterial small subunit ribosomal RNA
Source: RNAcentral
GGGCGUAAAGCGUCCGCAGGCGGCCCUUCAAGUCUGCUGUUAAAAAGUGGAGCUUAACUCCAUCAUGGCAGUGGAAACUGUUGGGCUUGAGUGUGGUAGGGGCAGAGGGAAUUCCCGGUGUAGCGGUGAAAUGCGUAGAUAUCGGGAAGAACACCAGUGGCGAAGGCGCUCUGCUGGGCCAUCACUGACGCUCAUGGACGAAAGCCAGGGGAGCGAAAG